This 875-nucleotide ribosomal RNA is filed under the name Pseudomonas fluorescens. RNAcentral describes it as "bacterial SSU rRNA". It matches the Rfam family "Bacterial small subunit ribosomal RNA", at positions 76 to 947 of the family's 1533-position model. Lineage: Bacteria; Pseudomonadati; Pseudomonadota; Gammaproteobacteria; Pseudomonadales; Pseudomonadaceae. The record is from RNAcentral. RNAcentral also lists the same sequence under 2 other names.
GUGCUUGCACCUCUUGAGAGCGGCGGACGGGUGAGUAAUGCCUAGGAAUCUGCCUGGUAGUGGGGGAUAACGCUCGGAAACGGACGCUAAUACCGCAUACGUCCUACGGGAGAAAGCAGGGGACCUUCGGGCCUUGCGCUAUCAGAUGAGCCUAGGUCGGAUUAGCUAGUUGGUGAGGUAAUGGCUCACCAAGGCGACGAUCCGUAACUGGUCUGAGAGGAUGAUCAGUCACACUGGAACUGAGACACGGUCCAGACUCCUACGGGAGGCAGCAGUGGGGAAUAUUGGACAAUGGGCGAAAGCCUGAUCCAGCCAUGCCGCGUGUGUGAAGAAGGUCUUCGGAUUGUAAAGCACUUUAAGUUGGGAGGAAGGGCAGUUACCUAAUACGUAAUUGUUUUGACGUUACCGACAGAAUAAGCACCGGCUAACUCUGUGCCAGCAGCCGCGGUAAUACAGAGGGUGCAAGCGUUAAUCGGAAUUACUGGGCGUAAAGCGCGCGUAGGUGGUUCGUUAAGUUGGAUGUGAAAGCCCCGGGCUCAACCUGGGAACUGCAUUCAAAACUGUCGAGCUAGAGUAUGGUAGAGGGUGGUGGAAUUUCCUGUGUAGCGGUGAAAUGCGUAGAUAUAGGAAGGAACACCAGUGGCGAAGGCGACCACCUGGACUGAUACUGACACUGAGGUGCGAAAGCGUGGGGAGCAAACAGGAUUAGAUACCCUGGUAGUCCACGCCGUAAACGAUGUCAACUAGCCGUUGGGAGCCUUGAGCUCUUAGUGGCGCAGCUAACGCAUUAAGUUGACCGCCUGGGGAGUACGGCCGCAAGGUUAAAACUCAAAUGAAUUGACGGGGGCCCGCACAAGCGGUGGAGCAUGUGGUUU